Molecule: ribosomal RNA, 497 nt
Filed under: uncultured bacterium
Lineage: Bacteria
Description: partial 16S ribosomal RNA
Rfam family: Bacterial small subunit ribosomal RNA
Source: RNAcentral
GAUGAACGCUGGCGGCGUGCCUAAUACAUGCAAGUCGAGCGAACAGACGAGGAGCUUGCUCCUCUGACGUUAGCGGCGGACGGGUGAGUAACACGUGGAUAACCUACCUAUAAGACUGGGAUAACUUCGGGAAACCGGAGCUAAUACCGUAUAAUCUAUUGAACCGCAUGGUUCAAUAGUGAAAGACGGUUUUGCUGUCACUUAUAGAUGGAUCCGCGCCGCAUUAGCUAGUUGGUAAGGUAACGGCUUACCAAGGCAACGAGGCGUAGCCGACCGGAGCGGGUGAUCGGCCACACUGGAACUGAGCCACGGUCCAGACUCCUACGGGAGGCAGCAGUAGGGAAUCGUCCGCAAUGGGCGAAAGCCUGACGGAGCAACGCCGCGUGAGUGAUGAAGGUCUUGGGAUCGUAAAACUCUGUUAUGGGGGAAGAACAGAUGUGUAAGUAACUAUGCACGUCUUGACGGUACCUAAUCAGAAAGCCACGGCUAACUACGUG